AAGCAAAUUGACAACAUUUGAAAAAGGAUCAUUGAAAGAAUAUGAGGAAUCACAUAUUGGUGGGAAUGCAAAGUGAGUCCUGCACAGUGAGCGGUGACGCACUGAAUGGUCCAUUUUUCUUUUCUAAAUCCAGGGCUGUGUUUUGCUUCUCAUGGCGCUGAUGGCACAUCUGAAAGGUAGGAGUCUGGGUUUUGCCUGUGGGUGGAUAUUUGCAGUCACAUCUGGCUUUGCUUUGCCGUAUUGUUAACCCCCCUUUUCCCUGCUACAGUUGUUUUCUUUUUAUUAAAUUUCCCGUCUGGAUCCC
This 304-nucleotide long non-coding RNA is filed under the name Bos indicus x Bos taurus (hybrid cattle). RNAcentral describes it as "lncRNA (ENSBIXG00005005222.1)". The record is from RNAcentral. Lineage: Eukaryota; Metazoa; Chordata; Mammalia; Artiodactyla; Bovidae.